RNAcentral lists this long non-coding RNA (551 nucleotides) under Anser brachyrhynchus (Pink-footed goose). Its description in RNAcentral is "lncRNA (ENSABRG00000006554.1)". The record is from RNAcentral. Lineage: Eukaryota; Metazoa; Chordata; Aves; Anseriformes; Anatidae.
UGAUCUUUAAGGUCCCUUCCAACCCAAAGCAUUCUAUGAUUCUAAUUACUGUGAGAUCACUCUCAAGUCACUAUGAUCUUUUCUGUUGACCUUGGGACAUAAAGAAACAAACACUAGUUGUUCUCCCAGACUAGUUUCAAGGUUGGAUCUUGUGCUCUGUUAGUGCAUGAAGGAUUCAUGAGGAUCUGCUCUGAAUGAUAGAAUUGAUCUAGCAUGCCAAACUACUCUGAAGUCCAAAAAUGUCCCAAAGGGAGAACUUUCAAGAGGACCUCAUAUUUUACAUUCUAAAUGAGCAAAACAACAUCAUUUUGGCAGGGAAGACACUCAGCACAUCAUGAACUAGAGUGAUUAUAGUCUCCCAUCUUGAGAGAAUUAGGGUGCUUCAUAAAUUUUAAAAUAUUUACUUUCAAAAUCUGUGCUCAGUACCUUCAGUAAUCUUCCCCUGAAUAUUCUGAAGCUGAAUUACAGUUAUCCUAUAACUUCUUGGCUUUACAGUAAUUUCUGGCUGAAACUGUAAGGUGUACUUCAACUGUAAAGCAUUUCACCUUUAU